UAAGAUUCAGCUUAGGCAGAUCUUGCUAUUCACACAAACAAAGUAGCCAAAGAGUAAACUUGGGAUCAUAGUACUGGUCUAGUGUUGUCUUUUCAGACAUCUACCACUGACCAGCCUCCAAAUUCCCACACAUGA
Suncus etruscus (white-toothed pygmy shrew) is the source of this 135-nucleotide small nucleolar RNA. RefSeq annotates it as small nucleolar RNA SNORA23. The transcript has a single exon. NCBI's taxonomy places the organism in Eukaryota, Metazoa, Chordata, Mammalia, Eulipotyphla, Soricidae. The record is from RefSeq and is a predicted model, not a curated record.